UCAGAUUGAACGCUGGCGGCAUGCCUUACACAUGCAAGUCGAACGGCAGCAUGAUCUAGCUUGCUAGAUUGAUGGCGAGUGGCGAACGGGUGAGUAAUACAUCGGAACGUGCCCUGUAGUGGGGGAUAACUAGUCGAAAGAUUAGCUAAUACCGCAUACGACCUGAGGGUGAAAGUGGGGGACCGCAAGGCCUCAUGCUAUAGGAGCGGCCGAUGUCUGAUUAGCUAGUUGGUGGGGUAAAGGCUCACCAAGGCGACGAUCAGUAGCUGGUCUGAGAGGACGAUCAGCCACACUGGGACUGAGACACGGCCCAGACUCCUACGGGAGGCAGCAGUGGGGAAUUUUGGACAAUGGGCGAAAGCCUGAUCCAGCAAUGCCGCGUGUGUGAAGAAGGCCUUCGGGUUGUAAAGCACUUUUGUCCGGAAAGAAAUGGCUCUGGUUAAUACCUGGGGUCGAUGACGGUACCGGAAGAAUAAGGACCGGCUAACUACGUGCCAGCAGCCGCGGUAAUACGUAGGGUCCAAGCGUUAAUCGGAAUUACUGGGCGUAAAGCGUGCGCAGGCGGUUGUGCAAGACCGAUGUGAAAUCCCCGAGCUUAACUUGGGAAUUGCAUUGGUGACUGCACGGCUAGAGUGUGUCAGAGGGGGGUAGAAUUCCACGUGUAGCAGUGAAAUGCGUAGAGAUGUGGAGGAAUACCGAUGGCGAAGGCAGCCCCCUGGGAUAACACUGACGCUCAUGCACGAAAGCGUGGGGAG
RNAcentral lists this ribosomal RNA (755 nucleotides) under uncultured bacterium. Its description in RNAcentral is "bacterial SSU rRNA". It matches the Rfam family "Bacterial small subunit ribosomal RNA", at positions 24 to 768 of the family's 1533-position model. The record is from RNAcentral.